RNAcentral lists this ribosomal RNA (293 nucleotides) under uncultured bacterium. RNAcentral's name for it is "partial 16S ribosomal RNA". It matches the Rfam family "Archaeal small subunit ribosomal RNA", at positions 455 to 747 of the family's 1478-position model. The record is from RNAcentral.
GUGCCAGCAGCCGCGGUAAUACCGGCAGCCCGAGUGAUGACCGAUCUUAUUGGGCCUAAAGCGUCCGUAGCUGGCUACGCAAGUCCGUCGGGAAAUCCACGUGCUUAACGCGUGGGCGACCGGCGGAAACUGUCCGGCUUGGGGCCGGAGGACCCGAGGGGUACGUCCGGGGUAGGAGUGAAAUCCCGUAAUCCUGGACGGACCGCCGGUGGCGAAAGCGCCUCGGGAAGACGGACCCGACAGUGAGGGACGAAAGCUGGGAUCUCGAACCGGAUUAGAUACCCGAGUAGUCC